Molecule: ribosomal RNA, 481 nt
Filed under: uncultured bacterium
Lineage: Bacteria
Description: partial 16S ribosomal RNA
Rfam family: Bacterial small subunit ribosomal RNA
Source: RNAcentral
GACGAACGUUGGCGGCGUGCUUAAUACAUGCAAGUCAACUGAAGCAGUGGUAGCAAUAUCGCUGUGGAGGUGGCGCACGGGUGAGUAGCACGUAGGUAAUCUGCCUUCAGGUCUGGCAUAACUCCGGGAAACCGGGGCUAAUAGCAGAUGAUGCAGCGGCUCGACAUCGAGACAGUUGUUAAAGCUAUGGCGCCUGAAGAUGAGCCUGCGUCUGAUUAGCUAGUUGGCGGGGUAACGGCCCACCAAGGCAACGAUCAGUAGCUGGUCUGAGAGGAUGAUCAGCCACACUGGAACUGAGACACGGUCCAGACUCCUACGGGAGGCAGAAGUAAGGAAUAUUGCUCAAUGGGAGAAAUCCUGAAGCAGCAACGCCGCGUGAGGGACGAAGGGCGUUUGCUUGUAAACCUCUGUAGUGAGAGAAAAAAAUCCCAAUCUUUGGGACAUGAUGGUAUCUCAAAAGUAAGCCCCGGCUAACUACGUG